UCCUAAGACCCUAGACAUACACACCCUGU
This 29-nucleotide non-coding RNA is filed under the name Rattus norvegicus (Norway rat). The record is from RNAcentral. Lineage: Eukaryota; Metazoa; Chordata; Mammalia; Rodentia; Muridae.